CACUGGAGAGAGAGGAGAGAAAGGAGAGGUUGACAGGGUUGGCACUGGAAGUGCCUACCAACAGCUGUUCUUCAGCAUUUAUUGCAUGCUUUGUGUCAUGAAGGAAUCUUGCUUCAUAUAUACAUACUGUAUAAUUCACUAGGUUCUUUUUCCAUCUUUUUUAUUCUUAAAAAAAAUCUUUGGAAAGCAGAGACCUGGAGAGCAAGAGCUAACAUAUUGGGAAUACUACAAUAUUCUACAUGAUAUGCUUCUCAUUUUCACAUAGAAAUGAGAAAACUCUUUCAAUCCCUGACAAUGGCACGGGACAAUCAUAUCUUGAUUGUCAUGGUGAGGAGGUCUACGCUCAGAGGAGGACCUUGUCUAAGAUCACACAGCUAGUAAGUGGCAGAGGCAGGAUUCGAACUCAGAUCUGUCUGAGUCAAAGUCAAAUUUCUUUCCACAACAUUAAACUGCCUCCUAAGUACAUAGAACUGUUAGCAAAGAAGAGCAAUUGUCCCCAGUUUAUAGCUUGAGAAAAUGGAGUCUGCAAGUCUCAGAGAAGAAUAAAGUCCUAUAGUUUCUAAUCAACAAAACUGUGACUAAAAUUCCAACCUGUGUUAAGUGAAAUGGUAGGUACGGGAGAACUCCAAGGUAUGGCCCCACCCUCAAGAGACCAGCCAUCCAUUGAGACCUGUGACUGCUACUGGUGUCUCAACAGGGAAUGGUUCCGAAUGAGUGCGUUGGUGAGGCACAGGUUGGGUGGUAUAAAUAAUGAAGGCUGAAGAGUCUGAGGUGGUGAUCAGUGCUGAGUCCAGACUGCUGCCCUGUCUGCAUAUCUGCUAAAAUGGUCUUUGCUGGAGGCCAUGGAUCCUCUUACAUUAUUUAUCAGAAUCUCUUAUCAUCUGGAAAUAAGAAAACCCAAAUCAAUUGUUGACAAACAUUUUGCAGUAAUUGCAUCUCCUUACUAAGGGCUGGACUAUCUCUCUUUGAAGAAUGAAGCUGGAGAGUGUAAUUGCUGGUCAGUUCUUCUCCUCACAAUGACCUGAGUAAAGACUCUGAGGCCAGGGAGAGUGGGAGCCUCUCCCCUCAAUGUUACCUCCAAAAGGAACAGGGGAUAAAUACCCUUGUAAGACAGUUGGCCUCAUUUUGUGGAUGUGAAUUCAAUGGCUCACAGCUCCAUUCUACUCAUCCUGGCUCCGGCUUAAGUUUUAAAAACUAAUUCUCUCUGCAUUAAUCUGAAAAGAUCCUUCAAACAAAAGCUCAACAUCUGAGUCUAUUUACCGAGUGUGCAGCUGUGUCAAUUGGCCAAGACAAAGCGAAGGCUUCCUGGUCAGCCCACAAUGGGCGGCAGGUAGUCUUGCAAACAGAGAAACACAAGGCAGGGGCCUUUCACGAGUCAGCAAACCUCCUUCCAACAAGGAAGAGCUGGAGCAGAGGGGUCAGGAGGAUGGAGUGCCGCCCCACCCCCACUCUCACCAGCACACAAGUGGGACUGAAAGGUAUCCACGAGAGACCUAGAAUCGUCCAAGUCACAGAGACAGAAAGUCAAAUUCAUGGAGACCAAAGGGAGGAGGCAUGAGUUUCCUGGGCGCAGAGUUUCAGUCUGGGAAGAUGAAAGAAUUCUGGAGACGGAUGGUGGUGAUGGUUGUACAACAAUGUGAAUGUACUUCAUGCCACUGAACUCUAUACUUCAAAUGGCUAAAUCGGCAGAGUUGAGAACCACUGAAUUCUGUUCUGAAAACAUCAGCAAGACCUUUCAUGGAUAUUAUAGGCUUCAGGCUCGAGACAGAGAGGAACCGCCUCUGUGUUUUUCACUGUCGUGUCUCAGUGCUGGGAGUGUACUCCAUGUGGUCAGUGUGUGAUCAAUUUAACUGUGCCUGAGGGUUCUGAGAAGACCUCACAAAUGAAGGUACCUUUGACCAGAGCCACGGAGAGGGGACAAGAGUUUACCCACCAGGCGCUGCAAAGCUGAGGUGGCAGGUCAGGACUUCCAGUGAGAAGGAGGUACUGGUAAAGGAGACUGUUAUUAUGAGCAGCUCCGUCCAGGAGAAGCCAGGGUUCC
Molecule: long non-coding RNA, 2041 nt
Filed under: Homo sapiens (human)
Lineage: Eukaryota; Metazoa; Chordata; Mammalia; Primates; Hominidae
Description: HSALNT0317187
Source: RNAcentral